This 334-nucleotide unclassified non-coding RNA is filed under the name soil metagenome. RNAcentral's name for it is "partial contains 5.8S ribosomal RNA, internal transcribed spacer 2, and large subunit ribosomal RNA". The stretch from base 2 to 118 matches the Rfam family "5.8S ribosomal RNA", at positions 38 to 154 of the family's 154-position model. The record is from RNAcentral.
GGAAGAACGUAGCGAAAUGCGAUAAGUAGUGUGAAUUGCAGAAUUCAGUGAAUCAUCGAAUCUUUGAACGCACAUUGCGCCCCUUGGUAUUCCAUGGGGCAUGCCUGUUCGAGCGUCAUUUGUACCUUCAAGGUUUGCUUGGUGUUGGGUGUUUGUCUCGCCUUUGCGUGUAGACUCGCCUUAAAAUAAUUGGCAGCCGGCGUAUUGAUUUCGGAGCGCAGUACAUCUCGCGCUUUGCACUCAUAACGACAGCGUCCAAAAGUACAUUUUACACUCUUGACCUCGGAUCAGGUAGGGAUACCCGCUGAACUUAAGCAUAUCAAUAAGCGGAGGA